CAUUUUAACUGAGCCACAUACUUGCUGGAUAAAGACCAAUCUACAAUACACCACAAAAAGAGUGCCAUCCGGGCGGACCUGCUCCAAGGAAAGGGAGAGACUACAGCCAACAUCUGAUGCUAGAAGCAGCCUGCAGUACCCUCCCAUUGAGCUAUCAGGCUAAGCAGAGCCUGCUGAAUCCUUAAUUUCAGACUUCAGUUUUUAGCAUGUGAGAUUCAUGUCUUUGUUUUAUACCACCCAGCUCAGAUGGGAGAAGGCAUAUUUCUAACCCUCUGGCUAUCUACAAGGUUCACAAACUCCUUCCAUGAGGAUGUCCAUGCUUUUCCUCCAUUCGGAUUGCUGGAACUGACCACUAUCCUUCCAAAGUGACAGCUAUGAUAGACAAGAACAAAAAUCACCAAGAAUCAAACGGCUUUUGACGGUGGUGUGACUGUGUGUUUGACUUCCCCUCAGUGAUGGACCACAACAUGGAACAGAUAUCAGUAUGGAAAUGACUACAAAGGCUCAAAGAAGCAGAAACCGAUGAAGAGAAGACUAGAUCAAUGAACACAUGUCAGUCACAGAAUUGGCCACCAAAGAUGAAGGAAGAAGCACACAUGUGUGGCAAAUGUCACCCUCCUUGUGAGGUCUCUCAAAGUGCUGAAUGGAAGAUCCAAAGUCAUGUGGGAUCAAUCUGCUUUUCUCUUGGAGACUGAUGAAGUAUUGAGUACUGGGGAUUCACCAUAAAAUCUGUGCUUGAAAUGGGAUUCGGUGGAUCAUGCCGUGGCUUCCACAUCCUCCUGCUAUGAAGGACUCCAUUCUUACUGGAACUUAAUCAGAGAAUAAAGUCUCCCAGGUCUGAAACAAAUAUGUUCAAGAAGAAAGAUGAAGCAGACAACCUUAAAUGAAGAGCAGCUGCCCUCCAAAACCAGUGCAUAGGACCUGACUCACCCUGCCUCCACCCAGCACCCAUCUACUUACUACGAGGAAGUCCCUUCUUGGAGUUCUGAAUUUAAGGCUGCAUACCAGUCUUGGAACAAAAGGGCAGCUCCAAGCUGGUGUGACCUGUAAAGCCCUCAGGAGCUAAGCCAGAGAAUGUCUCUGCACCCAAUCACUUUCAAGGAGCUUCACUGGAAUUAUAAUGAGAAUCUGCUCCUCCUCCAUGGAAGAUCUGGGCAACAAAGAAAGGAAGCAUUGCACUGGAAUCUGGCCUUCUUGAGCUGGUAAGAGGAGAGCCGGUAAGAAGAAAUGGAAAAAUAUGCUGAUGUCAGACUGGGGCCCAUCCCUAACAUCUCUAGGAAAACGGCCUUAGACAAGUUACCUAACCUCUCUGGGCUCUGUUGGCUCACCUUCUCUACUUGUGGAUGAGCUUGUCUUCCUCGAAGAAUGAGGAACUGUCAACAGAAAGGAUCCUGAUGCAUAACUGGAAUAUGUCCCUUUCAGACAGUCAUCUGUGCUGCCUUAUGAAGCUAAUCCUCAUCUCACUCUACUUUGUGAGCUGCUGAGUCAUCUAGCCAUCUGAAUAGAUGAUGAUCUUGUGUUUGGGUGUUUCUAUAGCCAAGUUCACCUUUCUAGACUGUAAGUUGAAGAGAAUGGAACCUCAGAAUAAAGGAUAGGUGAGCAGCCUAGAGCCAAGAGGGAAGGGAAAAGAGUGAACCGUGGUCCUGAUGUCUGCAGCCAAGCUCCUGUUCUCAAGCAUCACAGUGGAGGCAGUUUCUGAAAUCCUCAGACUUCCUUUCCACCUCUGUGCCUUCCAUAACACCCCCAAGUCUUCUAGAACACACAGUCUAUGCUCGUGCAACACUGUUUCUAUUAUCGUUA
This is a long non-coding RNA of Mastomys coucha (southern multimammate mouse), 1800 nucleotides long. RefSeq lists it as uncharacterized. NCBI's taxonomy places the organism in Eukaryota, Metazoa, Chordata, Mammalia, Rodentia, Muridae. The transcript has 10 exons. The record is from RefSeq and is a predicted model, not a curated record.